Suricata suricatta (meerkat) is the source of this 450-nucleotide long non-coding RNA. RefSeq lists it as uncharacterized. The record is from RefSeq and is a predicted model, not a curated record. The transcript is spliced from 3 exons. NCBI's taxonomy places the organism in Eukaryota, Metazoa, Chordata, Mammalia, Carnivora, Herpestidae.
AGAGGAGCCAGCCCUGCCCUGUGGCUCUGGAGCUGCCAGGCCCAAGCUCUUGGAAGACCCUCAUCAAGGCUUCUCAAGUGGACCCUGGAAGCUGUGCCAAUGAGGCUGCUACAAAACCUUUUGGCUCCCAUGGGGAAUGGAGUUUAAGCCAUGACACCUUCUGCAGCUGCCCCCCGUGCAUCUUAUCUCCUUGCACCUGAGCCGGACUGCUGCAAAGACUGUCCGCUUGUCUGCGCCUGGACGGACCAGAUCCCCUGCAGCACUGGCAAUACACACAAAACCCUCCCUGUGGGGAAGGAACGGUCAUCCAGGAGCCGGCAAGUCAAGCAGACAAGAAACAGGACCAACCAAGCCAGGAGUCAGCCCAGGCAGCCCUGGGAUAUUGACUCUGAGUGGCCAAAUUCCUUCCAUCUGAACCACAGAUGCUGAUAAAAUAUUCUCAGCAAUGGA